This 253-nucleotide ribosomal RNA is filed under the name uncultured bacterium. Its description in RNAcentral is "partial 16S ribosomal RNA". It matches the Rfam family "Bacterial small subunit ribosomal RNA", at positions 524 to 776 of the family's 1533-position model. The record is from RNAcentral.
AACGUAGGACGCGAGCGUUAUCCGGAGUUACUGGGCGUAAAGCGCGGGCAGGCGGUCUGACAAGUCUGAUGUGAAAUCUCCGGGCUUAACCGGGAGAGGCCAUUGGAGACUGACAGGCUGGAGGGCAGUAGAGGUAGGCGGAAUUCCGGGUGGAGUGGUGAAAUGCGUAGAGAUCCGGAGGAACACCAGAGGCGAAGGCGGCCUACUGGGCUGCACCUGACGCUGAGCCGCGAAAGCCAGGGGAGCGAACGGG